This 403-nucleotide ribosomal RNA is filed under the name Verrucomicrobiota bacterium. RNAcentral's name for it is "Verrucomicrobia bacterium partial 16S ribosomal RNA". It matches the Rfam family "Bacterial small subunit ribosomal RNA", at positions 355 to 776 of the family's 1533-position model. The record is from RNAcentral. Lineage: Bacteria; Pseudomonadati; Verrucomicrobiota.
UGGGGAAUAUUUCACAAUGGGGGAAACCCUGAUGCAGCGACGCCGCGUGAGCGAAGAAGGUUUUCGAAUCGUAAAGCUCUUUCCUAUGAGAAGAUAAUGACGGUAUCAUAGGAGGAAGCCCCGGCUCAAUACGUGCCAGCAGCCGCGGUAAUACGUAUGGGGCGAGCGUUGUCCGGAAUUAUUGGGCGUAAAGGGUACGUAGGCGGUCUAUUAAGUCAGGUGUGAAAGCGUGAGGCUUAACCUCAUUAAGCACUUGAAACUGAUAGACUUGAGUGAAGGAGAGGAAAGGGGAAUUCCUAGUGUGGCGGUGAAAUGCGUAGAUAUUAGGAGGAAUACCGGUGGCGAAGGCAACUUUCUGGACUUUUACUGACGCUCAGGUACGAAAGCAUGGGGAGCAAACAGG